RNAcentral lists this long non-coding RNA (228 nucleotides) under Gossypium barbadense (sea-island cotton). Its description in RNAcentral is "long non-coding RNA (GBAR_LNC021912)". Lineage: Eukaryota; Viridiplantae; Streptophyta; Magnoliopsida; Malvales; Malvaceae. The record is from RNAcentral.
GAAGUAAGAGUGUUUUACUUUUACUAACUUUUUUAAAAAUUCAAAAGUAAUUAAUACAGAUAAUUCAAACAAAAUGUACUGAAAUAAUAUAAAAUAAUAAAAUACGAAAAUAAUAUAUUUUUAUUGAAAGUAAUAAAAUUCGGGAGAAUAAUACGAGCAAAGAGCAGGAAUAAGGUUUUUUUACAUUAAAUUAAUGUAAAAAAUACACUAAAUUAAUAAAUUUAAAAC